GAUGAAGAACGUAGCGAAAUGCGAUAAGUAAUGUGAAUUGCAGAAUUCAGUGAAUCAUCGAAUCUUUGAACGCACAUUGCGCCCGCCAGUAUUCUGGCGGGCAUGCCUGUUCGAGCGUCAUUACAACCCUCAGGCCCCCGGGCCUGGCGUUGGGGAUCGGCGGAAGCCCCCUGCGGGCACAACGCCGUCCCCCAAAUACAGUGGCGGUCCCGCCGCAGCUUCCAUUGCGUAGUAGCUAACACCUCGCAACUGGAGAGCGGCGCGGCCACGCCGUAAAACACCCAAGUUCUGAAUGUUGACCUCGAAUCAGGUAGGAAUACCCGCUGAACUUAAGCAUAUCAAUAAGCGGAGGA
This 353-nucleotide unclassified non-coding RNA is filed under the name soil metagenome. RNAcentral describes it as "partial contains 5.8S ribosomal RNA, internal transcribed spacer 2, and large subunit ribosomal RNA". The stretch from base 1 to 120 matches the Rfam family "5.8S ribosomal RNA", at positions 35 to 154 of the family's 154-position model. The record is from RNAcentral.